Molecule: ribosomal RNA, 301 nt
Filed under: uncultured bacterium
Lineage: Bacteria
Description: partial 16S ribosomal RNA
Rfam family: Bacterial small subunit ribosomal RNA
Source: RNAcentral
CAGUAGCCGCGGUAACACGGAGGGGGCUAGCGUUGUUCGGAAUUACUGGGCGUAAAGCGCACGUAGGCGGCUUUGUAAGUUAGAGGUGAAAGCCUGGGGCUCAACUCCAGAAUUGCCUUUAAGACUGCAUCGCUUGAACGUCGGAGAGGUGAGUGGAAUUCCGAGUGUAGAGGUGAAAUUCGUAGAUAUUCGGAAGAACACCAGUGGCGAAGGCGGCUCACUGGCUCAUACUGGACGCUGAGGUGCGAAAGCGUGGGGAGCAAACAGGAUUAGAUACCCCCGUAGUCCCUGUCUCUUAUAC